UAGGGAAUCUUCGGCAAUGGGGGGAACCCUGACCGAGCAACGCCGCGUGAGUGAAGAAGGUUUUCGGAUCGUAAAGCUCUGUUGUUAAGGAAGAACGAGUGUGAGAAUGGAAAGUACAUACUGUGACGGUACUUAACCAGAAAGGGACGGCUAACUACGUGCCAGCAGCCGCGGUAAUACGUAGGUGGCAAGCGUUGUCCGGAUUUAUUGGGCGUAAAGCGAGCGCAGGCGGUCAAUUAAGUCUGAUGUGAAAGCCCCCGGCUCAACCGGGGAGGGUCAUUGGAAACUGGUUGACUUGAGUGCAGAAGAGGAGAGUGGAAUUCCAUGUGUAGCGGUGAAAUGCGUAGAUAUAUGGAGGAACACCAGUGGCGAAGGCGACUCUCUGGUCUGUAACUGACGCUGAGGCUCGAAAGCGUGGGUAGCAAACAGG
RNAcentral lists this ribosomal RNA (430 nucleotides) under Bacteroidota bacterium. RNAcentral's name for it is "Bacteroidetes bacterium partial 16S ribosomal RNA". It matches the Rfam family "Bacterial small subunit ribosomal RNA", at positions 355 to 776 of the family's 1533-position model. Lineage: Bacteria; Pseudomonadati; Bacteroidota. The record is from RNAcentral.